AUCAACACAUCAACAAGAGGAAAGCUGAAGAGCCAACCAUAGCCUGGCUUCUGGCUGUAACCUGAACCAGACCCUGGAUACUGUCACUCAAAGGUUACUUAGAAUUACCCCUGCAGGUUUGACUUGGAAUUCCCUAUCACUGAUAACCUAAAUACAGAAAGGCAUCAAAGGAACAGAGACAGACGGUUUACAAGCUCCAAGCCCUACAGAUACUGAGGAAAUUAUGGCAUCCAUCUGCAAAGCAAUGGGGGAAAUUGAAGGUGUAUUUACAAGACAGAAGCUUCUUUGAGAGCUGCCCUUCAGCUUAGUGCCUUCCACUGACCUCACUACCAGGAACUCUUUAUCUCCACCCACCCAGAGAUGAGGAAAAGGAGAGGAUGCAGGUGGGAAGGCUGACUCUGUGCUUUUAAAUGAAAAGCUUGUCUCUAAUCAUUUAUGUGUCUUUUAAAAGUUUGGGGACCCAAAGUCAAGGCUCAUAUAUGCAGGGCAAACACUAUACCAUCGAUUUAUACACCAUCUAUCUUUAUCUCUCUUGGUUUAAAUGUGCGUGCAUACGCACAUUUAUUGUUUAUUCUAAAUCAACACACAAAAUUCUAUGUGGGUACAGUAAGUGUGUGUUUGUGGAACAGUUUUAAGUGUAUUCAGGUGGAUUGCUAAUGUGUAUGCUAGUGAAAUAAUUUCAGAUCUAUUAUCAGUGCAAAUUAGCAUGGCCAGUUGUCACUGCAUCAGAUUCAAUGGCAGAAGCUGUCUUUAGAUACAGGCCUCAAAGCAUCAAAGUAUUGUC
RNAcentral lists this long non-coding RNA (784 nucleotides) under Mus musculus (house mouse). Its description in RNAcentral is "predicted gene, 47373". Lineage: Eukaryota; Metazoa; Chordata; Mammalia; Rodentia; Muridae. The record is from RNAcentral.